AGCCCCGUAGUGUAGAGGCCAAGCAUACGUGCCUUUGGAGCAUGUGACCCAGGUUCGAAUCCUGGCGGGGCUA
This 73-nucleotide transfer RNA is filed under the name Nanobdellota archaeon. RNAcentral describes it as "tRNA-Gln". It matches the Rfam family "tRNA". From Rfam's summary of the family: Transfer RNA (tRNA) molecules are approximately 80 nucleotides in length. Their secondary structure includes four short double-helical elements and three loops (D, anti-codon, and T loops). The record is from RNAcentral. Lineage: Archaea; Nanobdellati; Nanobdellota.